RNAcentral lists this ribosomal RNA (450 nucleotides) under Prosevania sp. DERV027. Its description in RNAcentral is "partial 16S ribosomal RNA". The record is from RNAcentral. Lineage: Eukaryota; Metazoa; Arthropoda; Insecta; Hymenoptera; Evaniidae.
AUCAAAAACAUGUCUUUAAGAGGAAUUAAUUUAAAGUCAGAUCUGCCCUAUGAAAAGUUAAAUGGCUGCAGUACACUGACUGUACAAAGGUAGCAAAAUAAUUAGCUUAUUAAUUGUAAGCCGGAAUGAAGGAUUAGAUAAGAAAUUAACUUUUUUAAUGAAAUAAGUGAAAUUUAAAUUUUAAAUAAAAAUGUUUAGAUAAAAGUAAGGGACGAGAAGACCCCGUAGAUUUUUACGAUUUAAUUUGUGAAAGUUGAUUGUUUUUUUCAUCAUGGAUUUAAAUUGUUUUAAUGGGAAAUUAAUAAAAUAUAAGAAUUUUUAUUAUUUAAGACAUUUUAUAGGUGAUUAGAGAGAUGAAUCAUAUUUUGAGAAAUUUAAAUACCUCGGGGAUAACAGCGUGAUAUAUAAAUUAAGGCCAUAUUUUUUUAUAUGGUUGCGACCUCGAUGUUG